UGGGGAAUCUUGCGCAAUGGGCGAAAGCCUGACGCAGCCAUGCCGCGUGAGUGAUGAAGGCCUUAGGGUUGUAAAACUCUUUCACCGGGGACGAUAAUGACGGUACCCGGAGAAGAAGCCCCGGCUAACUUCGUGCCAGCAGCCGCGGUAAUACGAAGGGGGCUAGCGUUGCUCGGAAUUACUGGGCGUAAAGGGCGCGUAGGCGGAUCAGCAAGUUGGGGGUGAAAGCCCGGGGCUCAACCUCGGAAUUGCCUUCAAAACUGCUGAUCUAGAGUACGGGAGAGGUGUGUGGAACUCCGAGUGUAGAGGUGAAAUUCGUAGAUAUUCGGAAGAACACCAGUGGCGAAGGCGACACACUGGCCCGUUACUGACGCUGAGGCGCGAAAGCGUGGGGAGCAAACAGGAUUAGAUACCCUGGUAGUCCACGCUGUAAAACGAUGAUUGCUAGUUGUCGGCAGGCAUGCCUGUCGGUGACGCAGCUAACGCAUUAAGCAAUCCGCCUGGGGAGUACGGUCGCAAAGAUUAAAAACUCAAAUGAAUUGACGGGGUCAUAGCUG
Molecule: ribosomal RNA, 557 nt
Filed under: uncultured bacterium
Lineage: Bacteria
Description: partial 16S ribosomal RNA
Rfam family: Bacterial small subunit ribosomal RNA
Source: RNAcentral